GCUCCUGCCCUGUCCUCCACCUCC
This 24-nucleotide non-coding RNA is filed under the name Arabidopsis thaliana (thale cress). Lineage: Eukaryota; Viridiplantae; Streptophyta; Magnoliopsida; Brassicales; Brassicaceae. The record is from RNAcentral.